AGCGAACGCUGGCGGCAGGCUUAACACAUGCAAGUCGAGCGGGCAUCUUCGGAUGUCAGCGGCAGACGGGUGAGUAACACGUGGGAACGUACCCUUCGGUUCGGAACAACUCUGGGAAACUGGAGCUAACACCGGAUACGCCCUUAUGGGGAAAGGUUUACUGCCGAAGGAUCGGCCCGCGUCUGAUUAGCUAGUUGGUGGGGUAACGGCCUACCAAGGCGACGAUCAGUAGCUGGUCUGAGAGGAUGAUCAGCCACACUGGGACUGAGACACGGCCCAGACUCCUACGGGAGGCAGCAGUGGGGAAUAUUGGACAAUGGGCGCAAGCCUGAUCCAGCCAUGCCGCGUGAGUGAUGAAGGCCUUAGGGUUGUAAAGCUCUUUUGUCCGGGACGAUAAUGACGGUACCGGAAGAAUAAGCCCCGGCUAACUUCGUG
RNAcentral lists this ribosomal RNA (435 nucleotides) under uncultured bacterium. Its description in RNAcentral is "partial 16S ribosomal RNA". It matches the Rfam family "Bacterial small subunit ribosomal RNA", at positions 29 to 507 of the family's 1533-position model. The record is from RNAcentral.